Molecule: long non-coding RNA, 336 nt
Organism: Saccostrea echinata
Lineage: Eukaryota; Metazoa; Mollusca; Bivalvia; Ostreida; Ostreidae
Exons: 2
Source: RefSeq, a predicted model, not a curated record
AAUUACCACAAACUACAAUGAACUUCGUUCAGCUUUUGUUGCUUCUUGUUUUGGUAAUACUGACCGUCUACGUAAUGGGAUCAGUUGCCUCGCCCUGGAGAUGGCACAGAAGAUGGUCUGAUUCACACAGUGGCGGUUGGAGCUGGAGUCGUUGAUAUCAAGAUGAUCCCACCACAAAGAAAUUCAUUUCAAUGCUAUAUAUUUUUUGAAAACUGUAAAUAAGUAUCUAUUUGGUUACGAAAAUUGAAUGAAAAUAUAAUUACUGGAACAAAAUGUUAUGUUAUUUUGCAUUUGCGUUCUACAUAUCUGACUUUAAUAAAAAUGGACAGAAGUUGA